AGUGAACGCUGGCGGUAGGCCUAACACAUGUAAGUCGAACGGCAGCACAGUAAGAGCUUGCUCUUACGGGUGGCGAGUGGCGGACGGGUGAGGAAUACAUCGGAAUCUACUUUUUCGUGGGGGAUAACGUAGGGAAACUUACGCUAAUACCGCAUACGACCUACGGGUGAAAGCAGGGGAUCUUCGGACCUUGCGCGAUUGAAUGAGCCGAUGUCGGAUUAGCUAGUUGGCGGGGUAAAGGCCCACCAAGGCGACGAUCCGUAGCUGGUCUGAGAGGAUGAUCAGCCACACUGGAACUGAGACACGGUCCAGACUCCUACGGGAGGCAGCAGUGGGGAAUAUUGGACAAUGGGCGCAAGCCUGAUCCAGCCAUACCGCGUGGGUGAAGAAGGCCUUCGGGUUGUAAAGCCCUUUUGUUGGGAAAGAAAAGCGGCAGGUUAAUACCCCGCUGUUCUGACGGUACCCAAAGAAUAAGCACCGGCUAACUUCGUG
Molecule: ribosomal RNA, 492 nt
Filed under: uncultured bacterium
Lineage: Bacteria
Description: partial 16S ribosomal RNA
Rfam family: Bacterial small subunit ribosomal RNA
Source: RNAcentral